GGGUGAGUAACACGUGGAUAACCUACCUAUAAGACUGGGAUAACUUCGGGAAACCGGAGCUAAUACCGGAUAAUAUAUUGAACCGCAUGGUUCAAUAGUGAAAGACGGUUUUGCUGUCACUUAUAGAUGGAUCCGCGCCGCAUUAGCUAGUUGGUAAGGUAACGGCUUACCAAGGCAACGAUGCGUAGCCGACCUGAGAGGGUGAUCGGCCACACUGGAACUGAGACACAGUCCAG
This 236-nucleotide ribosomal RNA is filed under the name uncultured Staphylococcus sp. Its description in RNAcentral is "partial 16S ribosomal RNA". It matches the Rfam family "Bacterial small subunit ribosomal RNA", at positions 104 to 334 of the family's 1533-position model. Lineage: Bacteria; Bacillati; Bacillota; Bacilli; Caryophanales; Staphylococcaceae. The record is from RNAcentral.